Molecule: transfer RNA, 71 nt
Filed under: bacterium BMS3Bbin01
Lineage: Bacteria
Description: tRNA-Ala
Source: RNAcentral
GAGGUCGAUGGGGUAGAGACUCUUCCUUCCUUCGCACGGUGGUGGUCAGGGUUCGAAUCCCCUGACCACCC